Molecule: non-coding RNA, 1305 nt
Organism: Lactuca sativa (garden lettuce)
Lineage: Eukaryota; Viridiplantae; Streptophyta; Magnoliopsida; Asterales; Asteraceae
Source: RefSeq, a predicted model, not a curated record
AGAGAAAAUUUCGGGAAAAGAAAUACGUUUUGAUUUCUGCAAAGCUAUGAAGAAUCUUCUUUUUUCUUAUUUGCUUACACAUGUGGCAGGAAUAAAAAGUGCAACUGUGUUGUUUGCUUAAAUCUGCUAUGCACAAUCUUCUUCUUUCAUCUUCUUCACAAAAUUCUGAAUUUUGAAACAAAGUUUCAGAAUACAAACGAUCCUACAAUCUUUCUCAAAAAUCAGAAAACUCGUUCUUCAUCUCUCUCUACUCGAAAAUCAGAUUUCGUGUUGUGGACUUAUGGUUUCGAAAUCAGAAAAAGAAGGACAAAAGAUAUGGAUUAAGGUAUUUCUAAUUACUUGACUUGUGGACUUUCGUUUCAUGUUCUUCACUCCUCUCUUCAUGCGUUCUUUCUUUUUCUUCUACUUGAUUUUUUUAUUUCUAAUUUCUGAAAGAACAAGAAUUGAGUUUUGAAAAUCAGAGGAACACGAACAUUGAGCACAUCAGUUUUAAAAAUUAGAGGGAAAUGCAUUCAGGAAGUCGAAUUUUCUGUUUUGAAGAAUGCACGUACUGCUCACGUUUGUUAUGAUUUUUCAAGACCAUUUGGAGCACAUGGAUGAUUGUGCAAGUUCGGGAUGCGUUCGUAGACGCUUAGGAACUUAAUUGGAGUCUAGACCAAGGAAGGAUACCGGGAAAUGAUCAAGAACUUCUUGGAAGGAGGAACGGCGAUCAAAAGAGCCAAAAGAAGCAACUUGCGAUCGUAUCUUCAAUCCUUGCGAUUGCAGGUUAGAUUGCAUGUUGCCUUCGAGGAUUUGUCGAGCCAAAAAAAUUCAUCAGUAGACAAACAGAGAUACUUGCGAUCGCAGGUACAGUCCUUGCGAUCGUAGUUUGGUCAAUUUGCGUCGAAAUAGCAACGUACUUCAUUAAAAAAAUCUCGUGACACGCUUUUGGGUGACACAUGCGAUCGCAGGUAUACCCCUUGCGAUCGUAGGUACGGUGUUUUGACAGCUAGACGUAUAAAUAUAGCCUGAUACUCUUCCAGUAACCAUAAUUGGCGAUUCCUGGCGAUUCAGAGGUUUCCAAGUGAAGAACGCAGAUCUAACGGAGACGAUUCGAUUGUUAUUCGUUUUUUAGUAAGAUUUAUCGUUUAGACUCUAUUUCUACUGUUUGUAAUCCGUUUUUAGCCAUGUCCGGCUAAAAACUCGGAUUUCAGUUUCGCAAGACAUAACCUUUUCGUAUGAUUAAUCAUUAAGCACUAUGUUUGACUAUGAUUACUGUUUAGUUUGAUCAAUUCUGUGUUAAUUGAAUGUCUGAUAUUGAUUUCA